AUUGAACGCUGGCGGCAUGCCUUACACAUGCAAGUCGAACGGCAGCACGGGAGCAAUCCUGGUGGCGAGUGGCGAACGGGUGAGUAAUAUACCGGAACGUGCCCAGUCGUGGGGGAUAACGUAGCGAAAGCUACGCUAAUACCGCAUACGAUCUAUGGAUGAAAGCGGGGGAUCGCAAGACCUCGCGCGAUUGGAGCGGCCGAUAUCAGAUUAGGUAGUUGGUGAGGUAAAGGCUCACCAAGUCGACGAUCUGUAGCUGGUCUGAGAGGACGAGCAGCCACACUGGGACUGAGACACGGCCCAGACUCCUACGGGAGGCAGCAGUGGGGAAUUUUGGACAAUGGGCGCAAGCCUGAUCCAGCAAUGCCGCGUGCAGGAUGAAGGCCUUCGGGUUGUAAACUGCUUUUGUACGGAACGAAACGGCGAGCUCUAAUACAGUUUGCUAAUGACGGUACCGUAAGAAUAAGCACCGGCUAACUACGUGCCAGCCGCCGCGGUAA
Molecule: ribosomal RNA, 500 nt
Filed under: uncultured bacterium
Lineage: Bacteria
Description: partial 16S ribosomal RNA
Rfam family: Bacterial small subunit ribosomal RNA
Source: RNAcentral